This is a long non-coding RNA of Drosophila montana, 397 nucleotides long. RefSeq lists it as uncharacterized. The record is from RefSeq and is a predicted model, not a curated record. Lineage: Eukaryota; Metazoa; Arthropoda; Insecta; Diptera; Drosophilidae. The transcript has 2 exons.
CUUGUAUUUAAAGCAGUUGCAAGGGGAACUUCUUAACGGCAUAAAAUGAAAUUCACGAUUGCAGUUUUUUUGGCUUGUGGCCUCUUAGAAAUUGUCUUGGGUCAGCAGCCCCCUAGCUGUUUUCAGGCACCUUCAGAGCAUGGACUAUGCUACGAAGGUACUGACCUGUGGAGCUACUAUCCCCAACUAAAUCAGUGCAAGGUAUUCACUUACAAUGGUUGCUUGGGAAACGAUAACAGGUUCGCAUCCCGUGAGAUCUGCGAGAGAACGUGUAAGCAAUAGAACCGAAAGAAUAUUGUGUCCGCAUUUAUAUAGAUCCGAACCAGUUUUGUAUCUUAAGACUGGCAAGUCUUCGUCUUUUAAUUUCAUUUUACAUAAUAAAACGUAACGAUUUCAA